This 358-nucleotide unclassified non-coding RNA is filed under the name soil metagenome. RNAcentral describes it as "partial contains 5.8S ribosomal RNA, internal transcribed spacer 2, and large subunit ribosomal RNA". The stretch from base 1 to 120 matches the Rfam family "5.8S ribosomal RNA", at positions 35 to 154 of the family's 154-position model. The record is from RNAcentral.
GAUGAAGAACGUAGUGAAAUGCGAUAAGUAAUGUGAAUUGCAGAAUUCAGUGAAUCAUCGAAUCUUUGAACGCACAUUGCGCCCGCCAGUAUUCUGGCGGGCAUGCCUGUCCGAGCGUCAUUUCAACCCUCGAACCCCUCCGGGGGGUCGGCGUUGGGGACCUCGGGAGCCCCUAAGACGGGAUCCCGGCCCCGAAAUACAGUGGCGGUCUCGCCGCAGCCUCUCCUGCGCAGUAGUUUGCACAACUCGCACCGGGAGCUCGGCGCGUCCACGUCCGUAAAACACCCAACUUCUGAAAUGUUGACCUCGGAUCAGGUAGGAAUACCCGCUGAACUUAAGCAUAUCAAUAAGCGGAGGA